Long non-coding RNA from Oncorhynchus keta (chum salmon), 1348 nucleotides. RefSeq lists it as uncharacterized. The record is from RefSeq and is a predicted model, not a curated record. NCBI's taxonomy places the organism in Eukaryota, Metazoa, Chordata, Actinopteri, Salmoniformes, Salmonidae. The transcript has 2 exons.
UACACACGUUCACCAAUGCAACGCAGAAUGGGCUCAUCCUUAUCAACAAAGGAUUUAUUUCUCGGACCAAAAUCAUACCAAGAAAAUGGAUAACAUAACCUCAAUCCAUUUCACUGCUCUUGAAAUUUCCAGAUUGCUGAUUCAACAUAUCUCUCCGUCUUUAAAGUUUGUUUACAUUUCGUUGGGAAAAAAACACAAGGAGGAUCACAGAAAUGUAGCGGCCGAAGAAAGAGUUCAAAUAAAUCCAAGCCCCGGCGGUCAGCUGCUUGGAGAGCGAGAUCUCCAUCUUGGGCUCGUGCGUAAUGGUUUCGACAUAUCGUUUGAAGAAGUACCCCUUAUAUUUUAUUUAUAGGAUAUGCGGCGUUGCAAACACCACAAACAUAUCAUAAUUAUUAGUAUUAGGCCUACCAUUAUCAGCCUAGUAGUAGGCGAGCCUACGAUUAGUAGUAGUAGGCCUAGUACAGUGGCCUAGUAUAUAAGUAGGCCUUGUAUUAAUAGUAUUAUUAUUCAAGUCUACUACUUUAACCACAUAUCAAAACGUACAGUAGACCUUUAAUAAUAAUUUUCGUCAUACUAGUAAAUCCCUCUGACGGGUAACAAGGUUCACAUGGAGGGGGGUAGUUGCCUGAGGGCACACAGUUAAUGUGUUGUGAAAAGUGUCAUGAAAUGUAAUGUUUUGUCAUAUCUUUAAUUGUAUUUAACUGCCUUAAUGUUGCGGGAGCCCAGGAAGAACUGCUGCCUAAUGGAGAUCUUUAAUAAAUACAAAUAUGGUCAUAAAUCUACAAGAACAAAGGGAGUCGAAUAAAGCAUCGUUUUCACCAAUCUUCCAUUGAUUUAAUCUGAAAUCUGAAAUUCAAACUCAAAUGUAUUACUUUAGUCAAGAUGCGUAAAAGUAUUGCGAGAACGAGUAGCCUAAAUUGUGGAUAUGAUAUAUGGUUCUCACAGUGCUCAGCUCAGACCAGUUCCAGGUCAAACCAGCUUAGAGAGCUUGUCUAUUUGUGUAUUUGUAUAUUUAGGUAAACUCAUAUGGGACACACACACACACAUGAACGAAGGUGCACGUACGCCGAGACAAAUUCACCAAAAAGCGAGCGCAACAGAGCGAAAGAAGUGGUGGAAACUGAGAGCCUUGUGAAUUCCCACAAGGUGACUUUUGUUGGCUAGACUUACUGUUGAUGCACAUUCAUGUAAAUAUUAGUGGCAUUCGUUAGAAAUGUCAAGCCAACAUCAUGUGUUUGAAGAAAAAAAUUAAAUAGAGAUUACACAAAGAUAUCCAAAAACAACGGAGUUGUCGGCCAGUUGUAGUUGUCCAAUAAUAACACAAUUAAACAAAUCAUGUUCUUUUCGA